Molecule: RNA transcript, 3124 nt
Organism: Acromyrmex echinatior (Panamanian leafcutter ant)
Lineage: Eukaryota; Metazoa; Arthropoda; Insecta; Hymenoptera; Formicidae
Gene: Rassf
Gene name: Ras association family member
Source: RefSeq, a predicted model, not a curated record
CGUUUUUGAGACUUACAUGUUUUUGAAUAUCUUUUUAAUGAAUGUGUAUUUUAUUGCCAACAAUUUUAUGGUGUAUGUUACGAGAGAUAUAAGUUAGUCUAGGUGGCGUUUGUCAUAUACGGAGCAGAGAAAACGACGAUACGAUACCUCCUCUAGAACGAGAGUCCAGAGAAUCACUAUGCUAGUAACAUCUGUGUAAUUAACCCGCAUGUCAUUUCCAAUAAGCGAAAUGUUCCGCUAAUGUAAACAAAAUGGUUUAAACAUUUGAGACUCCGACAAAAACACACCCAUUGCCGUCCCUCCAGGGUGCCGUGCGUCUGUCAUCAUGUGGAAGUGCCACAAAUGCGGCAAACCUGUUUACUUCGCUGAACGUAAACAGUCUCUGGGAUAUGAUUGGCAUCCAGAAUGUUUGCGAUGUGAGGAAUGUGGAAAGCGUUUGAAUCCUGGACAACAUGCAGAGCACAAAGGCGUGCCUUAUUGUCAUGUUCCUUGCUAUGGAGCAUUAUUUGGACCUCAAUUAUUCGGCCAUGGCACAAGGGUGGAAUCACAUACUAGUUUUGGAAAAAAGGAAAGUCGACCAUCUUUACCAAGAUCGCAUUUAGAAUCCAAAUUGAAAGUUUUUAAUCAGUAUUACGAAGGCAAAAGUGGAGGAAUUCGAAGUCGUGAGGUUAAUGGAAGAUUGAUACUAGAGGGUGCAUUGAGAAUUUAUUGGGGAGUCCGUGGUGUAAUUCAUCUGAAGGAAGAUGACGAUCAGCGCACAGUAGUUACUGCACGAAAUAGAAACUCGUGCAGGCACAGUGUUUCUGAGGAUGUUGAAGACGAAGAUAAGGCAGAUGAGCUAUCUAAGAGCACAUUAGACAGCACUGUGGAGAAUAAUGCAAAGUCUGUUCCAACAUCGCCCGAUCAUUUGAAGAGUCUCACUUUGCCUAUGAAAUUAGAUGUCAAGAAUAUGGAAUGGGACGAAUUAGAUGAACUCUUACAGGUGGAACGAAAGGUUGAGGAUGGUAAUAAAUUAUAUCAGACGAUGCCUGAGAAUCUUCCAUCAAUAAGUUCGCAAUCUAGUGUGGAUACGCCACCGCUCUCGUCUCAGUCGAGUCUCGAUCGAUCGGAUUCCCGCGAAAAUUCGGAAACGAGCAGCCCCAAUCACCACAUUACUAGUCGAGAUAACGAUAGUAGCUUAAAUAGCACGCCAACGCACAGCAUAGGUAGUUCUUCUAGUACAGAUACUCCUGUCUGUAAUUUAGGAGCUUCUAAUCGAAAUGGUACGCUUCGAAGAGUAGAAUACUUCGACAACUUGGAGAAGAAUCCCGGCAAUAAGUCAAUUAGUACCGACGAUAGCUGGAUCGAAAAGGGUUUGAAUCGAUCGUUGUCCGGUCCUGAUUGUCUUCAGAGACAUAGAACUGAUAGUGACACGGAUUCGGUGAAUUCUUUGCAAUUCAGAGAGGACGACAAUAUGACUAUGUCUACAGACAGCGGAUUAGAGCUAGAUGGUGUCGUUUUGCGUCGCAAACAAGGCUCCACUGCGAUCAGACGACGUCCAGGCGGUAGACGUCAAUCGCGAAGCCGAUUACGACGUCGUUGCUCGAUCAACGGCCACUUUUAUAACCGAGAGACCAGUUUCUUCACGCCACCUCACGGGUCGCAGAUGUCCGUUUGGGUAACGAGUCUAGUGAACACUCAGGAAGUUAUUAAUCUUAUGUUGGACAAAUAUAAAGUCGAUGCCAAGUCCGAUAACUUUGCAUUAUUUGUAGUCCGCGACAAUGGUGAACAAAGAAGACUGAAGGAUGACGAGUAUCCUUUAGAAGUUCGAGUAAUCUUGGGUCCUCAUGAGAACGUUGCACGACUGUUUCUGGUCGAUAAAUUAUCCACGCCUGAAAUCAGUUCCGAUGUUGCGCAGUUUCUUAAUUUAUCUGUAGCAGAAUGCCAUGGCAUACUACAACGUUACCAUUAUGAAGAGGAACGUCAGAUUCUCGUCUUAAAAGAAAAAUAUAAAGAGAUGCGAAAAAGAAUAAAACAAAGAAUGGAAGACCUAAAAGUUCGUUUAUAGAUAAAAUGAUGAAUGAAUGUCGCAUGGAUAUUCACGCAAUUAUUUUUAUAAGCGAUUAAAAAAUUUCUCUGUAGAAAAAUGUUCAUGUAGCAAGAAUCUAUAACUCGUACCAUGCCGAAUAGCAUUCCGACAUCUUGAUGAAGUGAUAAAAAAAAUAAUGAAAACAUAUUUUUCUAUCGGUUUUUAAAGGAGAUCUGUUUAAUGAACGAGAAAUCAUUUAUCGAAUAGAUGUCGAUAAUAACUGUUAAGAAUUUAAAGUCUUCUAUCCUUUGCAUGUCAACGUGGCCCAGAUAUAAGUGGAUAUAUAUGCAUUAUGUAUUCAGCCGUACACAAUUGCUGUCAGAUAUACUCUGAUAGCAAUCCAAGACUAUUGUUAUGAAAUAAAUUACAGAGCGCAAAACAAAUGCUGCACGCAACAAUUAAUCGUCAAAUAUUGUAACGCGCCGCGAAUCUAUGGAAUCGCCGUUUCAAGCUAGUCAUGUUUCACGCUUAGUCACUGAUAUCGAUUGCAUCCAUCCCAUUUUCAUUUAAAGGCCAAAAGCAACAUAUACUGAGCCACGUUUACGUACAUUACAAAAUACGUUCUAUAUGCUCUCGAUCUGCCAGUUUAGAAUAUUAAAUUAACGAAUGCGCCGCGACACGCAUGAAGAUAUAUAUAUAUAUAUAAUUUAGAAUACCUAUCAGAAUUGUAUAUUAAAGGAUUGUAAUAAUCUCCUAGAUUGUAGGUGGCUUUUACUAGCAGUAAAAAGAUAUAAUCCUUAUAAUCAUAUAUUGAUUAACAGAACACAUCGCAUUAUUGUGACGUUAGAAUAAGUUUAUCAUUUCACGCCAAUUAAUCGUUUUCUACUGCUGAUAGAUGAGCGAAUACAUAUAUAGGUAUAAGUAUGUAUUUUUUCUAUUAUGCCGAUUAGCCAGAUAAAAAUACUCCAAAAUAACCAUGACAUAUUGAGUGUGUUUUGCCCUAAAAAGGAUAAAACUGAAAGUAAAUAUCUGAGCACGAAAUAUUGUAACAAAUCCAAUAUGAUUGACGUGUAAUGUCGUUGACAGAAUAAUAAAGUGAUAUGGUUGCUUCUUUUA